RNAcentral lists this ribosomal RNA (206 nucleotides) under uncultured bacterium. RNAcentral's name for it is "partial 16S ribosomal RNA". It matches the Rfam family "Bacterial small subunit ribosomal RNA", at positions 568 to 774 of the family's 1533-position model. The record is from RNAcentral.
CGUGUAGGCGGCUCGAUAAGUCCGGUGUGAAACCUUGGGGCUCAACCCCAAGCCUGCACUGGAUACUGUCGAGCUAGAGUCCGGGAGGGGAGAGCGGAAUUCCUAGUGUAGCGGUGAAAUGCGCAGAUAUUAGGAAGAACACCGGUGGCGAAGGCGGCUCUCUGGAACGGUACUGACGCUGAGACGCGAAAGCGUGGGAGCGAACA